UACAGAGGAUGCAAGCGUUAUCCGGAAUGAUUGGGCGUAAAGCGUCUGUAGGUGGCUUUUUAAGUCCGCCGUCAAAUCCCAGGGCUCAACUCUGGACAGGCGGUGGAAACUACCAAGCUGGAGUACGGUAGGGGAGACUGGAAUUCCUGGUGUAGCGGUGAAAUGCGCAGAUAUCAGGAGGAACACCGGUGGCGAAGGCGGGUCUCUGGGCCGAUACUGACGCUGAGGAGCGAAAGCGUGGGGAGCGAACAGG
RNAcentral lists this ribosomal RNA (253 nucleotides) under uncultured bacterium. Its description in RNAcentral is "partial 16S ribosomal RNA". It matches the Rfam family "Bacterial small subunit ribosomal RNA", at positions 524 to 776 of the family's 1533-position model. The record is from RNAcentral.